AGAGAGAAAGAAGCCCACACCAAGGGUUGUCCCAGGCUCCCGGUGUGUUUGCUACUGCCUGCUGCACAGAGUUCCGACAGGGUCCUCCCUUAACAAGCAAAGAGGAAAAUCAUCUCUGUUGCGAUGCCAGUGUGACUCGGCAAAGUUGCAUCUAGCGUGCGCGUCUGUCCUGGCUGAGGGGGGCUGAGAGAGGCUUUGCUGCCCUUUUCCCCCUUGAAUACGAGUUUCUCGUGACUUUCCACCACCCUGAACUCACAAUGAUCCGUCAAGGACCUUCUCCUAUUUCCCUCCCAGCACCAUCCUAAUUUCCUCCCUUCAGUGGCUUCUCUCCUCUUCAUGAUCACUUUAUCCCUUCCUGGACCAGAGGAAAUAACGAGAGACAGUGCCUCCUCCGCUGAAAAUCCACAGCCAGGCAUGGACCCCUCCUCACCACCUCCUACUAUGGUACUUAAAGACCUCACCAUGAAAAACUGGAUUGCAUAAAGGACUGCUCCUGGACAGAGACCCCUGGCUUGUUAUAUUUGCACAACUGGACAGUUUUCAUGGCAUAGAUUGGAUGGACUCUGUCAGUGACAGGAGGCAAUGUCCCUCCUGAAGGAGGGAAGGGAGUCUCUUCACUAGCAAAUACUCCAGCCAUUGGGGAAAAAAAAAAAGAUCCUGUGAUUCCAACCAUGGAACUGCUACUCAAAACAACUGCAAGAAAGAGGAAGUAGAGACCACGCGAGGUAUUUCCGUGUAAGACUGUUCCACCUUGAGAAAAGAAGCAAAAUGUGGAAAUGGGUCCUUCGCUGGAGAAUGGAUUAAAGAGUCUUUGGUCUCCUUCUGAAUUGUGCUACUUAAUUUAUCAUCACCACCAUCAUCAUCAUCUUUGUUGUCAUCAUCUCCAUCACCCGUGCUUCCUACAUGCCAGAAGUGUUGUGUUCCCUGGUUGAUCUCAUUUAAUUCUUCUGACAGCAAUAUGAGAAUCACCAUGGAAACCACAGCCACAAAUCCUGACAGCUCAAAUAUCACAAGUAGUGCUGAUAAUUGAUGGCAUGAAUAUCUGACAAGGCCUUGGCAGCUAUGCAGAGCAUUGCAGUGAGAAGCUGCUGUCUUGGGGGAGCUUUACUGCUUUUGGAGAUUUAAUACUGAUCUUGAACUUGAGGUGUGUCUGCAUGAACUUCUAUGCACCAGAAACUUUCAUUUCAAUGCUGAAAUGUGGGGUAAGAUUUUGGUGAAAUUUUAAACAAAUUUAGGGAACUACCUUAAGUAAAUUCAACCAGGUAUCACAUGCAGUCUUACUUUGGAAUUGUGAAAAAAAAAUAAUAAUAAGAGUGGAAAUAUGGAAAGAGAAUGCAAUAGCUACAACAGCAUAAACAUUGACUAUUAAGAAUCAAAAUAAUAUUCAUAAAAAAUAUUCAUUAAGUUAGGUGUCAACAUUUGUAAGAAAUGCACUGUUCCUGGCUUCGAGGUGGAAGAAGGCCGCCACAAGCUAAGGAAUGUGGGCCGCAUCUAGAAGCUGGAAAAGGCAAGAAAACAGUCUCCUCUAGAGCCUCUAGAAGGAAUACAGUCCUGGUGACACCUUGGUCUUGGCCCAGUGAGACCCAUAUCAGAUUUCUAACCUACAGAACUAUAAGAUAGUACAUUUAUGUUUUCUUAAGCCACUAGGUGUGUAAUCAUUUGUUACAACAGCCACAGGAAAGGAAUGCAUGUAUGGUUCUCUACAUUUUUGGUCUCUGCAGAGACAGGGUGGAUGGGGCCAGGAGACUAGCUCUGGCACUUAGAAUGGGGGAUGGGUGUGAUUUGCCCCCUACCUGGGCAAUGUGCCAUGACCUCUCUCUCUGGUGGUUGGACAGCUGAAUGCAGAGGGUCAGUAGAGGGUCAAGGAGGCUCUAGUGGAUGGCAGAGUCGCUGUUUGCAAGGAGCCUUGAAUCUGAAGUCACCACUUGAAAGAGUGUUGCCUCUGGGAGCUGCCCCAACCAAAUGCAUGAGUCUUAAUCCCCUGAGUUCCCAGAGUUCAUUUUUCCCUGCAGCAGAGCUGCUUCUAGUCUAACUCCAGAAUCUCCAAAUCAGAUUAUUUUUUCUUUUUAAAAAAUUUUUAAAGAGUUUUUUUUCUUUUUUUUUUUUUAAGGGAUCAAACUUCUACAUGGGCAAAGUCAGAACUUUGUUGGGCUUCCUUAGCCUUAGUUUGUAAUUCAGUCUUUUUAAAAUUUCACGUAGCACAUGGAGAGCAUUGUAAUCAAAUUUCUAUACUUAGGGCUUGUGACGGUCUUAAACCAGUGCUACUUUCUUGGCCACGGAGGCACCCACAGCCUCACAGUGCAGACAGACAGCUCAUUGGUCUCUUACAGGCUCUUCUGGCCUUUUCCUAAAUAUGCUCUCCAGUGCCAUAAAUUUCUACUUUUGUCCAGAGAUUCCUUUUUCUUGGAAUAUGUACCCCACCCCUUCCUUUAAGCUCAGCUCAAUUCCAUCUCCUUCAAGAUGCCUUUCUAGAUUCUCCAAGGAAUAUGAAUUUCCUUCCUCCAUGAUUCCCUGUGUUCUUUCGUAAUACUUAUUAAUGGAUCCCUGUCCUCUCUACCCAAGUACACACACAGGCACAUCCUAAAAUGUAGCUUCCAGAAGGCAAAUAUCAUCCCAGGCUCACUGUGGUCCUUCACCAUAAGAUAGUGCUCUAGGGCAGUAAAUGCUCUGUGCAUUUGCAAAUUUUAGUAAAACCUCUGCGGCUGGUGGAAGAGUUUUGUUUUGUUUGUUUAAGCAGACAGGAUCACGUGGUGCCUUUUAUAUUAUCAUAUAGGACUGGUCCAUUUAUAUAGAGCAAGGGUCCCCCAAGAUUCCUUGUUCAUCAAAAUCUGAAUGACUAAACCAGGCACUGUGCUAAAGGGCCGGAGCACCACGUACCCUGUGGAACUAUCAAAUGUCACCCACUAGGACAGCUGCAAACCACAUAUAGAGUGUACCUACUACGUACCAGACUUUGGGCAGGUGAUCGACAUCAGCCUGAGCCUCUGGCCAGUCCUUCACUUUCUAGGACUUCUUCCCUUUCAGGGAAAUUUGGCCUCCCAGCAUCUGGGGAACAAGCUGCUUAUUUGCUAAUAUCUGUUUGCACAUCAGGGUUUUUUACUUUUAGGAACAGUUUGUCUCUCUGGCAGAUCUCCGUGUUCCCAUACCGUUGUUUAUGAUGUAACUAAGCAUCUAUCGUAUAGAAUUGAACUCAAUUCUCUUUUGAAACUGCAAGAGAUCUAACCCGCUCAUUUUCUUUCCAUUUAACAUACGAGAGGGGUGUGUAGGAGCAGUUUAUUAAGGGGGAGCUGUUUAUUGAGGGAUCCUGGGGCUAAUCCCAGCCCAUUAUUUCUCCAUUUCCUUACAGCUCACUGAGAAGGGUGGGAGAGAACAGGAACGGGGAGACUAUUCUUUCCUGAGUGAUUGUUUGGCCAGUCCACAGGGAUCCUGACUUUCCUACACCCAUCAGGGAAGUAGCAUCCAGAGGGUCAUUCCAGGGACAGGGCUGGCUGUGUCAGGCUGUAAUGAAUGGUUCAGACUGAGAAGUGGAACUUGGCCAACAACAGGGAAAGACAAUAAUCAUUGGAAAAUUUAGGCAUUGAGAAUAAGAUCCAUGUCUGUCUUAUGUCCCCUGGGUACCAACACAAUGACUUGGCUUAGUAACUGCCCCAUAAUGUUUAAAUUAUGUUCAGUGAAUGAGUGAAUGAAUGGAUGCCGUAUUCUUGCUUCCUUCUCCAAACACUCUUUAUAAAAUUACGGCAUCUCAUUCAUGUCUCCUCUAUAAAUCGGGAAUUUGGUGAGGCAUGCUGUUUAUUGCUUAGGAAUCAUUUUACUUAAUCACAAAGGUCCCAGGGGUUCAGGCGGGGAAAAAAAAAAAAAAGCAGGUUUGGGAGAAAGAGUAGGAUAGGAUCUUCCUAGAGAUUUUUCUUUCCUUUUUCUUUAAUGGGCGCACCCAUGGAAGAUGGAAAUUCCCAGGCCAGGUAUUGAAGCCCAGCCUCAGCUGUGGCCAGAUCCUUUAACCCACUGCACCAGGCUGGGGAUUGAACCUGCACCUCGACAGUGACCCAAGCUGCUGCAGUGGGAUUCUUAACCCAAGGUGCCACAGCACAGUGAGGCUAGAGCCCCACUUCAACUCCUAUAGAGUUGAAAGCUCUAUAGGAGUUUCUGUUAUGGCUCAGUGGUAACAAACCCUACUAGUAUCCAUGAGGACGCUGGGUUUGAUAAGCGGGUUAAGGCUCUGGUGUUGCCGUGAGCUGUGGUGUAGGUCACAGACACGGUUCAGACCUGCUGUUGCUAUGGCUGUGGUGUAGGCUGGCAGCUACAGCUCCAAUUCGACCUCCAACCUGGGAACUUUCAUAUGCUGCAGGUUUGGCCCCCAAAAAGACCAAAAAAAAAAAAAAA
RNAcentral lists this long non-coding RNA (4380 nucleotides) under Sus scrofa (pig). Its description in RNAcentral is "lncRNA (ENSSSCG00035008444.1)". The record is from RNAcentral. Lineage: Eukaryota; Metazoa; Chordata; Mammalia; Artiodactyla; Suidae.